GAUCACAGUGAUGGCUGACCAGGGCUCCCUGACCUAUACAGGCCUCUGUUGUGGGGGUGAUGGGCCCGUCCUGGUGUCUGAGUGAUU
Molecule: small nucleolar RNA, 87 nt
Organism: Sorex araneus (European shrew)
Lineage: Eukaryota; Metazoa; Chordata; Mammalia; Eulipotyphla; Soricidae
Product: small nucleolar RNA SNORD86
Exons: 1
Source: RefSeq, a predicted model, not a curated record